RNAcentral lists this ribosomal RNA (644 nucleotides) under Paraburkholderia nodosa. RNAcentral describes it as "bacterial SSU rRNA". It matches the Rfam family "Bacterial small subunit ribosomal RNA", at positions 344 to 981 of the family's 1533-position model. The record is from RNAcentral. Lineage: Bacteria; Pseudomonadati; Pseudomonadota; Betaproteobacteria; Burkholderiales; Burkholderiaceae.
GGAGGCAGCAGUGGGGAAUUUUGGACAAUGGGCGAAAGCCUGAUCCAGCAAUGCCGCGUGUGUGAAGAAGGCCUUCGGGUUGUAAAGCACUUUUGUCCGGAAAGAAAUCCUGGCGGCUAAUAUCCGCCGGGGAUGACGGUACCGGAAGAAUAAGCACCGGCUAACUACGUGCCAGCAGCCGCGGUAAUACGUAGGGUGCGAGCGUUAAUCGGAAUUACUGGGCGUAAAGCGUGCGCAGGCGGUGAUGUAAGACCGAUGUGAAAUCCCCGGGCUUAACCUGGGAACUGCAUUGGUGACUGCAUCGCUGGAGUAUGGCAGAGGGGGGUAGAAUUCCACGUGUAGCAGUGAAAUGCGUAGAGAUGUGGAGGAAUACCGAUGGCGAAGGCAGCCCCCUGGGCCAAUACUGACGCUCAUGCACGAAAGCGUGGGGAGCAAACAGGAUUAGAUACCCUGGUAGUCCACGCCCUAAACGAUGUCAACUGGUUGUCGGGCCUUCAUUGGCUUGGUAACGUAGCUAACGCGUGAAGUUGACCGCCUGGGGAGUACGGUCGCAAGAUUAAAACUCAAAGGAAUUGACGGGGACCCGCACAAGCGGUGGAUGAUGUGGAUUAAUUCGAUGCAACGCGAAAAACCUUACCUACCCU